RNAcentral lists this ribosomal RNA (494 nucleotides) under uncultured bacterium. Its description in RNAcentral is "bacterial SSU rRNA". It matches the Rfam family "Bacterial small subunit ribosomal RNA", at positions 8 to 518 of the family's 1533-position model. The record is from RNAcentral.
AGAGUUUGAUUAUGGCUCAGGAUGAACGCUGGCGGCGUGCUUAACACAUGCAAGUCGAACGAUUAACCCAUCUUCGGAUGGUUAUAGAGUGGCGAACGGGUGAGUAACACGUGACCAACCUGCCUUUCACAUUGGGAUAACCCAGGGAAACUUGUGCUAAUACCAAAUACUCCGGUACUUCCGCAUGCUAGUACCGGGAAAGCUCCGGCGGUGAAAGAUGGGGUCGCGGCCCAUUAGGUAGUUGGUGGGGUAACGGCCUACCAAGCCCGCGAUGGGUAGCCGGGUUGAGAGACUGAUCGGCCACAUUGGGACUGAGAUACGGCCCAGACUCCUACGGGAGGCAGCAGUGGGGAAUUUUGCGCAAUGGGGGCCAACCCUGACGCAGCAACGCCGCGUGCGGGAUGACGGCCUUCGGGUUGUAAACCGCUUUCAGUAGGGAAGAAAUUGACGGUACCUACAGAAGAAGCUCCGGCUAAAUACGUGCCAGCCGCCGC